CGCAUGAACGCAGACAGCGGUGUUUGGGCAUGAAUCUCAUGGAACUAAAAUCGGAUACAGUCAAAUACAUGACUUCCAUAAAAUUUCUGAACCCCUGAACUGAUCUGGGUGAUUUUUGGAUAUGUUGGUCACCCAGAUCAGGGCUAUCAGGGGGAUGUAACAAUUGUGGGGAUUUGAUGUGUUUUGGGGUACUUUGGGGGUUUUACAAAAAUAUGUGUUUUUUCUGCCUGGAGAUAAUUGAGUUAAUACAGUGCUGAUGGUGUUGGGUAGAGUGCUUGGAGUCCUCGGUAAGCACUAGGAGCAUUGGUUGGCGGAGACAUCUGGUCGGGGUGCCAGGCGGUCUGUCACAGUGCUGUUCUCUCUGCAUGGUCCUAGUGUCGACUUAGUU
Molecule: non-coding RNA, 388 nt
Organism: Pelobates cultripes (western spadefoot toad)
Lineage: Eukaryota; Metazoa; Chordata; Amphibia; Anura; Pelobatidae
Source: the annotation of a GenBank genome assembly